GGGGAAUUGGGAAUUGGGGAAGAUGAGUUGACAACCCUAAGUUGAUGGUUGUGGAGAAGGAAGGUGGGGGAAUGGGGGAAGAAGGCUUUUGCGUGGUCGGUCUGGUCUGGCGAGAGGGCACUUGGAAAUGGACUGGAGUGAGAUAGUCUUGACUCCAUAGAGAGAGAGAGAGAGAGAGAGAGAGAGAGAGAGAGAUGGUAGAGAGAAGAUUGAGUACGUAAAGUUAGGAAAGGGGAGGGACCGACUCCCGCCUCAUCAAAAUUCUUUUUCUUUUUUCUUCUUUUCCUUCUAAAUUCAUUUUUAUGUUAGUCUUCAUUUUCUUUUUGACCAUUGGGUAAAAAAAAUUCUAUACCAAAUCUACCCGAAUGUAACUUCAUUUAUAUUCUAUGCACAGAUUUUUAUCUAAAUCAUCUACUUACCCUUUUCUUUAUUACAAUUUUGUACAUCCUCAAUUCUUAAUUGCAAAAGCAUCUUAAGGUCU
Cucumis melo (muskmelon) is the source of this 481-nucleotide long non-coding RNA. RefSeq lists it as uncharacterized. The record is from RefSeq and is a predicted model, not a curated record. NCBI's taxonomy places the organism in Eukaryota, Viridiplantae, Streptophyta, Magnoliopsida, Cucurbitales, Cucurbitaceae. The transcript is spliced from 2 exons.